CCACUAACGAGCGCAACCCUUACCGUUAGUUACCAUCAGGUUAAGCUGGGGACUCUAGCGGGACUGCCACCGUAAGGUGAGAAGAAGGUGGGGAUGACGUCAAAUCAGCACGGCCCUUAUGUCCAGGGCUACACACGUGUUACAAUGGCCGGUACAAAGGGCAGCUACUUCGCGAGAAGAUGCUAAUCUCGAAAGCCGGUCUCAGUUCGGAUCGAAGUCUGCAACCCGACUUCGUGAAGCUGGAUUCGCUAGUAAUCGCGCAUCAGCCAUGGCGCGGUCGAAUACGUUCCCGGGCCUU
RNAcentral lists this ribosomal RNA (298 nucleotides) under uncultured Sphingobacteriales bacterium. RNAcentral describes it as "partial 16S ribosomal RNA". It matches the Rfam family "Bacterial small subunit ribosomal RNA", at positions 1086 to 1382 of the family's 1533-position model. The record is from RNAcentral. Lineage: Bacteria; Pseudomonadati; Bacteroidota; Sphingobacteriia; Sphingobacteriales.